CAUCAUAGAAUGGUUCCUGAGAGACACCCUGCAGGACCCCAUGACCUCAUCAGGUGGGGCACAACGCUUAACAAAGCAUCCCCGAUCAGCUCACCAUGCUGUGACCACCUGCAACGCUACCCUCCAAGCCUGCGGAUAAAGCAGUGUUUACAAAAAGCUCCAUACUCCUCUGGGUACCACACCAAGCGUGUUUGCAUGUUGUUCAGUGUCCAGGAACUGAGCACGGAGAGCUUGUGGGUGGCAGUGAUGGAACCAAUGAAGGUGAUUCAGUAAAGAGAAUGCUUGCUAGGGAGGAGGGCUCAUCGUCUCUAAAUAAUUUUUCCCCUGCCAUCAAUAAAAAUGUACUUGGAAGAGAUUCUAGAAAUGCGUUAGCUGGUGACGUCUAUUUUUAGAGGCAGCGGAUAGAAACAAAUACGUUUUGCAUGAAAAUGGAUUAAAUAAAAACAAGGCUGUAUCCCUGGACAUGGGUAGCAGGACAUGUAUAGGACAAAUUCCCCUCAGAAAGCUUGCCUGAUGAAAUACGUUUUAUGGGUUAUUACAUUGUUUUGACGGUUAAUAGAAAUGCAAUCAGACCUCCGAAUGACGAGUAAAACUAUAAGAAGGAAGCCUUGCUUUUCCCCAGGGUGUUCAGCGGGCAGAGAUGAUCCUACGCUCUCCAUAAAAUCACAAUACAAGUGGCUCAGGACAACAAGAAAAGCAGCCCUUCCUUAGCUCUAUAAAGAAGAACACUUUGGGAAGUUUGAGGGUGGGAUGACCUACAAGAACAUACCAACAGGUGCAGGCUCAAAGUAGGAGAUUUUAUCGGAACGUCUCUUUCAGUGCAAAGGUUCCAAUUAGUUUUUGCUUUCACAGCAAUAAUCUCUCCUUACUAUUCAGAUCUCCUCAUGUGCACUUCCAGACCCUGCGAUCCAGACAGCGUACUGAUUGUUCUUGGACAUUAACAACAAUAGGGAAAUUUAUAGCAACCAGCCACAAACACCAACAGGGCUGUGACACCUGCCUUUGCAGAGUGCCCUGCUAAGCUAAACAAUCAGGGUGCAUGAUUAAAAACAACUGGCCUUUCCUUUUCCUCCCAGCUUUCCAGGUAGUUCAAAUCACAGUGACGUACAGCUACCCAGCAGUGUCCUUUCUUGAGCAAUACAUAACAGGUACAUAAGCGCAGCAGGUUUCCUUAAAGACCCACUCCUGAAAGCUUUCAGCUGUACGCUGUGAUUAUACAACGCGAUGACAGUCCCAAGUGAAAUCACUGACACCACUGCUUGCACAAGAUUAAAUAAACGCAUGCUUGCAUGAACACAGUCCGCGUGUGAAUAGGAAAAGUUGGAAAACAUAAUUCUUGAGGGCAAAUCUGUUACUUGCCUUCUAUUUACCAACGCACAUAAAGCUGUAGACUUCAAUUUCAGAUGUUGACGUAUUUAAAAUUAACUCCUUUUGCAGACUUAAGUACUCUAGAAUGAUUUACCUUCGGGUUCCAAAGUGGCAUCUUCAACAACUAAGUUAAAUGACGGUCGAGCCAGGGAAAGUCCAGCCAUGGUGACCACCACCAGGCAGAUAAGGCAACACAAAUCCCAGCUGACCAUCUUUUUAGAGUAAGUUCCUGGUCCGUUUCCAUAUCUCCAUGUGGACUUUAAUCCCAUCUGAGCACCUCUACAGGAGCAUGGACAGAACGCAGUGCCUUCGGCCAGGGCAAUCCCUCCUCACCGGGAACAGUGGUGGCUGCGGGGAGAGAGAUUAAAUGCUGUCAGCAAAACCAUCCUACAUGCAAACCGAAAAACCCCACAAAGCCCCAAACAGAGCUGAGGAGGAGGGGGGAGGAGGAGGAGGAGGAUGGGAAAAAUACUUUUCCAGCUUCAAAUAUACGUGAAAAGUGAGUGACUUUUCAUUUUCUGUUAGCAGUUUCCAUCAUCACCCGAGGUGUAACCAAGUCCUCCUUGUUUUCACAAAAUCACUUCUCAGCACGUAUUUAGAGAGCUAUUU
Long non-coding RNA from Pavo cristatus (Indian peafowl), 1977 nucleotides. The record is from Ensembl. NCBI's taxonomy places the organism in Eukaryota, Metazoa, Chordata, Aves, Galliformes, Phasianidae.